CGGCGGCGGCAGCGGCAGAUUGUGCAGACAUGGCCAAGAUUAAGGCUCGAGACCUUCGCGGCAAGAAGAGGAGCUGCUUAAACAGCUGGAAGACCUGAAGGUGGAGCUGUCCCAGCUGCGCGUCGCCAAAGUGACAGGCAGCGCGGCUUCCAAGCUCUCCAAGAUCCGAGUUGUUCGCAAAUCCAUCGCCCGUGUUCUCACAGUCAUCAACCAGACGCAGAAAGAGAACCUCAGGAAAUUCUACAAGGGUAAGAAGUACAAGCCCCUGGAUCUGCGACCCAAGAAGACACGUGCCAUGCGCCGCCGGCUGAACAAGCACGAGGAGAACCUGAAGACCAAGAAGCAGCAGCGGAAGGAGCGGCUGUACCCGCUGCGGAAGUACGCGGUCAAAGUCUGAGCACUGGCGUCAGUAAAACACAGACAAACUGAAAAAAAAAAAAAAAGCAAAG
Molecule: RNA transcript, 449 nt
Organism: Odobenus rosmarus divergens (Pacific walrus)
Lineage: Eukaryota; Metazoa; Chordata; Mammalia; Carnivora; Odobenidae
Gene name: 60S ribosomal protein L35-like
Exons: 1
Source: RefSeq, a predicted model, not a curated record